CAUGUUUCCCCUUAAGGUAAUUGUCGAAGUCUGUUCUCCCUAUGUUUCGCCUUAGGUUAGUGUUAAAGUCUGUUCCCCCCAUGUUUCCCCUGAAGGUUAGGGUCGAAGUCUGUUCCCCCCAUGUUUCCCCUUAAGGUUAGGGUCGAAGUCUGUUUCCCCUUAAGGUUAGGGUCGAAGUCUGUUCCCCCCAUGUUUCCCCUUAAGGUAAUUGUCGAAGUCUGUCCCCCCUAUGUUUCGCCUUAGGUUAGUGUUAAAGUCUGUCUCCCCUAUGUUUCGCCUUAGGUUAGUGUUGAAGUCUGUUCCCCCCAUGUUUCCCCUUAAGGUUAGGGUCGAAGUCUGUUCCCCCCAUGUUUCCCCUUAAGGUUAGGGUCGAAGUCUGUUUCCCCUUAAGGUUAGGGUCGAAGUCUGUUCCCCCCAUGUUUCCCCUUAAGGUAAUUGUCGAAGUCUGUCCCCCCUAUGUUUCGCCUUAGGUUAGUGUUAAAGUCUGUCUCCCCUAUGUUUCGCCUUAGGUUAGUGUUGAAGUCUGUUCCCCCCAUGUUUCCCCUUAAGGUUAGGGUCGAAGUCUGUUCCCCCUAUGUUUCCCCUUAAGGUUAGGGUCGAAGUCUGUUCCCCCCAUGUUUCCCCUUAAGGUAAUUGUCGAAGUCUGUUCUCCCUAUGUUUCGCCUUAGGUUAGUGUUAAAGUCUGUUCCCCCCAUGUUUCCCCUGAAGGUUAGGGUCGAAGUCUGUUCCCCCCAUGUUUCCCCUUAAGGUUAGGGUCGAAGUCUGUUUCCCCUUAAGGUUAGGGUCGAAGUCUGUUCCCCCCAUGUUUCCCCUUAAGGUAAUUGUCGAAGUCUGUCCCCCCUAUGUUUCGCCUUAGGUUAGUGUUAAAGUCUGUCUCCCCUAUGUUUCGCCUUAGGUUAGUG
Molecule: long non-coding RNA, 902 nt
Organism: Myxocyprinus asiaticus (Chinese sucker)
Lineage: Eukaryota; Metazoa; Chordata; Actinopteri; Cypriniformes; Catostomidae
Exons: 4
Source: RefSeq, a predicted model, not a curated record